AUUAAAACAUUUUUUCUAGAUUCGGUCGCAUGAAGAUGAUGUAAAUAGUGUUGCAUUUGCAGAUAGUACAUCUCAGAUUCUUUUUAGUGGAGGAGAUGAUGGUUUAUGCAAAGUUUGGGAUAGGAGAACUUUGAAUGAAUCACAUCCAAAGCCUGUUGGUAUACUUGCUGGUCAUUUGGAUGGAAUUACAUAUGUAGAUUCAAAGGGUGAUGGUCGUUAUCUUAUUACUAAUAGUAAAGAUCAAACCAUCAAAUUAUGGGAUAUGAGAGCUUUUUCACCUGCUCUUGGAGCUGAGG
This is a long non-coding RNA of Centruroides sculpturatus (bark scorpion), 296 nucleotides long. RefSeq lists it as uncharacterized. The transcript is spliced from 3 exons. NCBI's taxonomy places the organism in Eukaryota, Metazoa, Arthropoda, Arachnida, Scorpiones, Buthidae. The record is from RefSeq and is a predicted model, not a curated record.